GACGGGGGAUGCAAGCGUUAUCAGGAAUCACUGGGCGUAAAGCGUCUGUAGGUGGCGAUGCAGGUCACUGGUGCAAAACUCUGGCUCAACCGGAGGAAAGCCAGUGAAACUGCAUGACUAGAGUGUGGGAGAGGUAGAAGGAAUUCCCUGAGUAGCGGUGAAAUGCGUAGAUACAGGGAAGAACACCGGAGGCGAAAGCGUUCUACUGGAACACAACUGACACUGAGAGACGAAAGCUAGGGGAGCGAAUGGG
Molecule: ribosomal RNA, 253 nt
Filed under: uncultured bacterium
Lineage: Bacteria
Description: partial 16S ribosomal RNA
Rfam family: Bacterial small subunit ribosomal RNA
Source: RNAcentral